AAAGUAUUCAGAAUUCAGCCAAGACUGCUGUGCCAGUUAAAUCUGCUCAGGAUGGGGAUGGCCGACAAAAAAUUAGAGUCAUUAAAAAUAAAGAUGGAAUAUCAGAAGUUCAUGGCUUAAAAGCCGGUCAAAAAUUGGUUGAAGGCCCGGAUGGUAAAUUUCGGUUGGUCACUCAAAACCGUCCUGACUCAUACGCGCCCGCAUAUGAACCAGGGUUGACUCCC
Long non-coding RNA from Octopus sinensis (East Asian common octopus), 224 nucleotides. RefSeq lists it as uncharacterized. Lineage: Eukaryota; Metazoa; Mollusca; Cephalopoda; Octopoda; Octopodidae. The transcript has 3 exons. The record is from RefSeq and is a predicted model, not a curated record.